This 253-nucleotide ribosomal RNA is filed under the name uncultured bacterium. RNAcentral's name for it is "partial 16S ribosomal RNA". It matches the Rfam family "Bacterial small subunit ribosomal RNA", at positions 524 to 776 of the family's 1533-position model. The record is from RNAcentral.
UACGUAGGGGGCAAGCGUUGUCCGGAUUUAUUGGGCGUAAAGAGCGUGUAGGCGGCCUGACAGGUCCGUUGUGAAAACUAGAGGCUUAACCUCUAGACGUCGAUGGAAACCGUCUGGCUAGAGUCCGGAAGAGGAGAAUGGAAUUCCUGGUGUAGCGGUGAAAUGCGCAGAUAUCAGGAAGAACACCCGUGGCUAAGGCGGUUCUCUAGUACGGUACUGACGCUGAGACGCGAAAGCGUGGGGAGCGAACAGG